UACGGAGGAUCCGAGCGUUAUCCGGAUUUAUUGGGUUUAAAGGGAGCGUAGGUGGAUUGUUAAGUCAGUUGUGAAAGUUUGCGGCUCAACCGUAAAAUUGCAGUUGAAACUGGCAGUCUUGAGUACAGUGGAGGUGGGCGGAAUUCGUGGUGUAGCGGUGAAAUGCUUAGAUAUCACGAAGAACUCCGAUUGCGAAGGCAGCUCACUGGACUGCAACUGACACUGAGGCUCGAAAGUGUGGGUAUCAAACAGG
This 253-nucleotide ribosomal RNA is filed under the name uncultured bacterium. RNAcentral describes it as "partial 16S ribosomal RNA". It matches the Rfam family "Bacterial small subunit ribosomal RNA", at positions 524 to 776 of the family's 1533-position model. The record is from RNAcentral.